CUCCCAGAAGGAGUCUCGCUCCCUCAGCACGGAGCUGUUUAAGAUGAAGAAUGCCUAUGAGGAGUCCUUGGACCACCUGGAAACAAUGAAGCGGGAGAACAAGAACUUGCAGCAGGAGAUUUCCGACCUCACGGAGCAGAUUGCGGAGGGAGGAAAGGCAAUUCAUGAGCUGGAGAAAGUCAA
Long non-coding RNA from Neopelma chrysocephalum (saffron-crested tyrant-manakin), 183 nucleotides. RefSeq lists it as uncharacterized. The record is from RefSeq and is a predicted model, not a curated record. NCBI's taxonomy places the organism in Eukaryota, Metazoa, Chordata, Aves, Passeriformes, Pipridae. The transcript has 2 exons.